AUGAGCAACCCAAGAUUAAGACAAACUGGCCAAUGGAAACUCAAAUGGUUAAAAUUUACACACAAAAAAAAUGGUUGGAGUUUCAAAGUGAAAUGACUGAGAGUCAUGGUUAUUAUGUGCAACAGGCAUUUACAGGAGUUGACUCAGUGGUUUACCGUGUGAUGCAAUUUCAAAGUUGUUCUUCCUUCCAAACCAAGGUUGCUCACACAUGAUAAACAGAGGGACUACAUAUCAUGUAACUGUACAAAAUUUGAGUUUGAGGGCAUUCCAUGUAGGCAUAUGUUAGCAUUUUUUCGUAUCAACCAAGUGUUUCAUUUGCCUGAUAUGUAUAUACUCAAACGAUGGACACAAGAUGCAAAGGUUGGAGGAAUAUAUGCUUUGGGAGAGCCAAAUUUUAUUGAUGAUCCAGAUCCAGAAAGGUUUUUGAUGUCGAGACACUCGAGGUUAUCCUCUAAAGCUUCAAUAUUAAUUGAUAAUGCAUCUUUAACUGAUGAGGGGACAGCCUUCUUGGAUGAACAAUUCAAUUAUAUCUACAACAAAAUUCAAGAGAUGAACAAUAGUAAAAUAUGCGUUGAUGGAAGUCAAAGGAAGAAAUCCAUGGAUGAUAGCCUUGGUAUUAUUGAUCCUUCUUCAGUAAGAACAAAGGGAUGUGGGAAGAGAUUGAAAUCAUCAAAAGAGAAGUCAAUCUCAAGGUCCAGGAUAUGUCGUGAAUGCGGGCAUCGAGGUGUGUCACAUGACAAACGCAACUGUCCAAUUUUGCAACAAAAAUCAACUGAAGGUAAUUAUCAUAAUAGCAUUGACGACACAUAUGAAGCAGAUUUGACAUCUUUAGCUGGUUCUAAUAACAUGCGGUAGGAUAUUUAUAAUUAUCUAUGGCUGGUAAUCAUCUAUUUCCUUUGUUUGCACAAUUACAAAGUACAUUUCAUCUUGCUUUUAUUGAGCUAGUUCAGUAAUGCAAAUAUAAUUUUUAACUUGCUCUUUUAAAUUUUGUAGACAGCUGAUGCUUCACUUUUUGAUAUUUUGUUGUCGAAAUACAAUUUAAUGACUUGCUUAAAACUUGCAUGUGUUGGAACAAGGUUGGAUGCUUUCAUACAAGGUUGGAAAUAAUACAAGCCUCUCUGUCUUUCCUGCAAGUUUAGCAUGUGUUGCUUUAUUUCAAUGUUGCUCUAGCUCCUAGUUCCAUCAUGACAACACUCUCGUUGCAUGGAUGAAUGCUAUGCUAUAUUCACAAAAUGGAAGUUACAAGGCGACUUUUGAUUUUAUAAUCACUGUUUAUGUGAAUGAGUUUCUUAAUAGUUGUGCUAAAUUGUGAAGGCAUAUUUCUAGAGUAUGUAUUUUGCUUAAUAUAUGUGGUAUAUGUUUUAAUAAGAGUCUACUUGAUUAACCUAAUUUGUGGUGAAGUUCAGUAUGAAUUCUGCAUAAUAUGUGUUUUGUUCGGAUCUUCUUUUGAUUGAGAUCUAUGAACAACUAGGAGAAUAGAAAGAAAUAAAAGCAUUAGACCAUUAUAUUAUAUGAAACAAAUGAUCUUCUUUCAUUGAUUGAUUAACUACAAGUUCAAGGUCUUUGAUUAUUGAUGGAUAACAUUGUCAAAUAAUUCCGCAAAUAUUUUGUUUUUCAUCUGAAUAUGUUGAAUUAACUUAUCGACUAUGCUACAAGCAUGUCUUUCUUUUUUUUUUUAUUCUCUUGGUCAAGGAUAUUUUCACCUUUCACAUAAUAUCUUUCAUGUUUUCUAAUUGCUAAGGAUUAUAAUUCCAUCGGUGGAAUUUGGAUUUGAUAAGUAUUAUAUAUAUCAGUGCUUCUAACUUUCUGCAAAUUUACUUAUACAUCAGUAAGAUAAUUAUCUUUUCCCAAUUUAACAUUUUUUUUUCUUCACAAUACUAUUUUGCCUCACAAUGCUACUUUUCCAAGUUGAAGUUGCUUCACAGGAAAGAGCAAUAAAAUGAAGAGCCUAGUCAAGGAAAACAAACAACUCCUACGAGGUGCAUGUUAAAGAGGAAUUUUGAGUUUGUUAUAGAAUUCUAAUUGGGAUGAAACAUAAUUUGUUUAUCAUGAUGAUGAUGCUUCAUCCACAUCUGGCACAUGUAUGUUCGUGAAACAGUAGAUACUCAAAAGACAGUUAAUCAACGAAACUUCUCAAUU
Molecule: RNA transcript, 2139 nt
Organism: Zingiber officinale
Lineage: Eukaryota; Viridiplantae; Streptophyta; Magnoliopsida; Zingiberales; Zingiberaceae
Exons: 4
Source: RefSeq, a predicted model, not a curated record